CUACGUGCCAGCAGCCGCGGUAAUACGGAGGAUGCGAGCGUUAUCCGGAUUUAUUGGGUUUAAAGGGUGCGUAGGCGGCCUGUUAAGUCAGCGGUGAAAUCUAGGAGCUUAACUCCUAAAUUGCCAUUGAAACUGGCGGGCUUGAGUGUAGAUGAGGUAGGCGGAAUGCGUGGUGUAGCGGUGGAAUGCAUAGAUAUCACGCAGAACUCCAAUUGCGAAGGCAGCUUACUAAGGUACAACUGACGCUGAAGCACGAAAGCGUGGGUAUCAAACAGGAUUAGAUACCCUGGUAGUCCACACAGUAAACGAUGUAUACUCGCGGUUUGCGAUAGACAGUAAGCCGCCAAGCGAAAGCAUUAAGUAUACCACCUGGGGAGUACGCCGGCAACGGUGAAACUCAAAGGAAUUGACGGGGGCCCGCACAAGCGGAGGAACAUGUGGUUUAAUUCGAUGAUACGCGAGGAACCUUACCCGGGCUUGAAUUGCAGAGGAAGGAUUUAGAGAUAAUGACG
RNAcentral lists this ribosomal RNA (512 nucleotides) under uncultured bacterium. Its description in RNAcentral is "bacterial SSU rRNA". It matches the Rfam family "Bacterial small subunit ribosomal RNA", at positions 501 to 1014 of the family's 1533-position model. The record is from RNAcentral.